Molecule: ribosomal RNA, 2211 nt
Filed under: Triticum aestivum (bread wheat)
Lineage: Eukaryota; Viridiplantae; Streptophyta; Magnoliopsida; Poales; Poaceae
Description: partial small subunit ribosomal RNA
Source: RNAcentral
AUGGACAAUAUGUUAGUUGACCUAGGUGGCAACUGUCCUCCACCGAUUGAUGAAGAACCAACCUCCUCUGCCAAGGCUUUCUAUAGGAUGGUUAGCAGUGCUGAUGAAAUUGUCCAUGAGAACACAACACACUCACGUCUUUCUGCAGUAGCUCGUUUGCUAGCACUGAAAUCUCAGUACAAUAUGUCAAUUGCAGAAUAUGAUGAUGUGUUACAAAUCAUCCAUGAACUUAUGCCUCCGGGUGCUAACUUGUCCAAGGACUUCUACCAAUCUAAGAAACUCUUAGAAGGCCUUGGUAUGCCUUAUGUCAAGAUUGAUGUGUGUAAAAAUAAUUGCAUGUUGUACUAUAAAGAUAAUGAGCAUAAAGACAAGUGUGACAUCUGCGGUACAUCUCGCUAUGAGGAAGGCCAGAAUAAAGUCCCACAUAAAGUGUUGAGAUAUCUCCCUCUUAAAGAUAGAUUACAGAGGUUGUAUGCUCACGAGGAAACAACAAAACAUAUGCAGUCACAUAGUCGUUCCAAUUCUGGUAAGAUGGUCCACCCUAUCGUUGGUGAAGCUUGGCAAGGGUUUGACAAGGACUUCCCAGAAUUUGCAGAAGAUCGUAGAAAUGUCCGUCUUGUCAUAGCCGGUGAUGGUUUUACACCAUACAAGUUGAAUGCUGCUCCAUAUACUUGCUGGCCUAUUUUUGUAGCUCCAUUAAACCUUCCACUGGGUAUUCUCUUGAAACCAGAGUAUAUAUUCCUUAGCCUUGUUAUCCCUGGUCCUGAACAUCCUGGAAAAAAUUUGAGUGUCCUAAUGCAACCUUUAGCUGAUGAACUGAUGCAAUUGUGGACAGGGGUUGAAACAUGGGAUGCUUAUCACAAGGUAAACUUUCCAAUGAAAGCGGCAUUUCUAUGGUCAGUCCACGACUUUCCUGCCUUUGGUAUGUUCGCUGGGUGGAGCAUCCAUGGCAAGCUAGCAUGCCCCGAAUGCAUGAGUGAUUCCAAAGCAUUUACUCUUCAAUACGGGCAGAAGCCUUGCUGGUUUGAUUGUCAUAGGCGCUUUCUACCUCCAGAUCAUGAAUUCAGAUUCCAGGCCAAUUCGUUUAGAAAGGAUACAAUAGUGUUAGAAGGGCCUCCAAGGCAUUUAACAGGAGAGGAAGUGGAAUCUCACAUGUACACACAUGUGAAUGACACCUUCAAUUACAAUAAAUUGCACAAUUGGACUCACAUAAGCUGCUUUUGGCAACUUCCAUACUUCAAAAAGUUGAAGCUCCGACACAACAUCGAUGUGAUGCACAAUGAAAAAAAUGUAGUUGAAGCUAUAUUUAACACAUGCUUUGAUAUUCCUGAUAAAACUAAAGAUAAUGUGAAGGCAAGAAAAGAUCUAGCUGAAAUUUGCAACCGUCCUUCGAUGCACUUGAAAUUGAAAGGCAAUGGGAAGUGGGAGAAGCCAAGAGCACCUUUUGUCAUCGAUAAGAAGGAUGUGAUAACCAUUCUGAAAUGGUUCCAAGAGCUGAAGUUCCCUGAUGGGUAUGCAUCAAGCUUUAGACGGGGAGUUAGCCUACUACACAGGAAGAUUUUUGGCCUCAAAAGUCAUGAUUACCAUAUCUUCAUGGAACACCUACUUCCUGUUGCAUUUCGUGGCUUCCUUCCAGAGGACAUAUGGAAGUGUCUAGCAGAGCUAAGUUAUUUCUAUAGGCAGCUAUGUGCAAAAGAACUUAGCAAGGAUACCAUACGUUCACUUGAGGAGAAUGUUGUUGUUCUUGUAUGCAAAUUGGAGAAGAUAUUCCCUCCUGGUUUCUUCAAUCCCAUGCAACAUUUAAUCAUACAUCUUCCAUACCAAGCUCGGCUAGGAGGUCCUGUAUUAGCUCGAUGGAUGUACAUCUAUGAAAGAUGUAUAGGGAAACUUAAAUCAAAAGUACGCAAUAAGGCUCGAGUUGAGGGUUCCAUUGUUGAGGCUUAUCUAGUUGAGGAGGCAACCAAUUUUCUCUCCUUGUAUUUCAAACACAAUGCCCGGUCAGUUAGGAACAAGGUGCCUCGCUAUGAUGACGGCGCCUCUACAUUUGUAGCCAAAUGCAACCUUGGCAUAUUUCAAUUCCCUGGUCGAUGCAUGAGUCCUCAAGGAACUUAUAAGCUCUCAACAGAAGAGUAUAAGGCUGCAUUCUUGUACAUAUUGACAAACAUCCCGGAGAUGGAGGAUUUGUUCGAGUAUAUUUUUUCUUUAACUUUU